This 717-nucleotide ribosomal RNA is filed under the name uncultured soil bacterium. RNAcentral's name for it is "bacterial SSU rRNA". It matches the Rfam family "Bacterial small subunit ribosomal RNA", at positions 66 to 763 of the family's 1533-position model. The record is from RNAcentral.
GCGAAAGCCCCCUUCGGGGGGCAAGUAGAGUGGCGCACGGGUGAGUAACACGUAGGUAAUCUACCUUCGGAUGGGGAAUAACAACCGGAAACGGUUGCUAAUACCGCAUAAUGCAGCGGCACCUAAUGGUGACAGUUGUUAAAGCGGGGGAUCGAAAGACCUCGCGUCUGAAGAGGAGCCUGCGGCGGAUUAGCUAGUUGGUAAGGUAACGGCUUACCAAGGCGACGAUCCGUAGCCGGCCCGAGAGGGCGGUCGGCCACACUGACACUGACAUACGGGUCAGACUCCUACGGGAGGCAGCAGUCGGGAAUUUUGGGCAAUGGGCGAAAGCCUGACCCAGCAACGCCGCGUGAAGGAUGAAAUCCCUCGGGAUGUAAACUUCGCAAGAACGGGAAGAAUAAGUAGGGGACAAUACCCCCUAUGAUGACGGUACCGUUUGUAAGCUCCGGCUAACUCCGUGCCAGCAGCCGCGGUAAUACGGGGGGAGCAAGCGUUGUUCGGAUUUACUGGGCGUAAAGGGCGCGUAGGCGGCCAGCACAAGUCAGUUGUGAAAUCUCCGAGCUUAACUCAGAAAGGUCAACUGAUACUGCUCGACUAGAGUGCGGAAGGGGCAACUGGAAUUCUUGGUGUAGCGGUGAAAUGCGUAGAUAUCAAGAGGAACACCUGCGGCGAAGGCGGGUUGCUGGGCCGACACUGACGCUGAGGCGCGAAAGCUAG